GAACGUAUGGCUUAAUGGUCAGAGCGCCUGGUCGGUUACCAGGGGGCGCGGGUUCCAGUCCCGCUACGUUAA
RNAcentral lists this transfer RNA (72 nucleotides) under Heliconius melpomene (postman butterfly). Its description in RNAcentral is "tRNA HMEL007845". It matches the Rfam family "tRNA". From Rfam's summary of the family: Transfer RNA (tRNA) molecules are approximately 80 nucleotides in length. Lineage: Eukaryota; Metazoa; Arthropoda; Insecta; Lepidoptera; Nymphalidae. The record is from RNAcentral.